Molecule: long non-coding RNA, 1098 nt
Organism: Sycon ciliatum
Lineage: Eukaryota; Metazoa; Porifera; Calcarea; Leucosolenida; Sycettidae
Exons: 7
Source: RefSeq, a predicted model, not a curated record
AUCUGAGCGAAUCACUUUGUCUAAGUGGCUGUGAAGUCUCACUUGGAUCGAUAACAUUGUGCCCUGAUAAUCACACAUGUGUUGGUUUGACGUUUAACUAUACGUGCGAACCUGUAUGUGUGAUGCCAACCAUCAAUAACAGUUUGAGUUUAGUUCCUAAAUAUGGCAAAGAAAAUGGAUCAAUGGCUUAUGUAUUUGACCUUAUCUGUCGGAUGGGAUAUCACGCAGCACCGUCCACAACUUCGAGCAACUGUCCUCAACCAGGAGGAGAAUUCAGAAUGGUUCCUCAUUGUAGAAAAUGCGCGUGGCAGCACGCAAAUACCACAGGCUAUGAGUCAAUUAUAGACAUUGGAAAGGUGACCUGCUCUCUGGGCUAUGUGGCAGUCCCCAAUGUCAACACUACUUUCUGCAGCCAGGUAACUAAAAGCUGGGAAUACACUGCCAUUUGUAAAGGUUGCUCCUGGAAGGACAAAAAUGCAAUAGGCUAUGAGUCUAUUUCGGACACCGGAAACGUGACUUGCUCACAGGGCUAUGCGGCGAUCCAUGAUGCAAACACUCCCAAAUGCAACCAGAAAACUGGAGCUUGGAACUUUACUGCCGUUUGCGAAGAUAUAGAUGAAUGCGCUAUAUCAAAUGGUAGUUUCUGCAAUGAACAGGAUGCAUGUUACAACACCAUCGGGUCCUUUGUUUGUUGCAACAAAAAUUCUAGUUGGUCAAAUGGCCUUUGUUCACAGAAAUACGAAUGCGGGGGAAAUGAAAGCCUUCUAAUUUUAGAUACAAGUUUCCACUUGAAGAUGAGCCUGGACGUGGCACUAACUCAUUGUUCAAAGGCAGGACUGUCACUCCCGAGCAAUCCACUCUGCAUUUCAUCCGCAGUUAGCUCUGGCAAAAUUAGCAAAAGGGUUUGGCUAGUGACACCUGCUUGGCUUGUAAAGUCAAUCUUGAGCAAGGGCGGCAUAACCGAGGAUGCAUCACGUGAUGAGUUACACAACGUGGUCUGUGUCGAAUUUGCUGACUGUUUAUCGAUAAGGUGCGGUCAAAAUGAGUUCUGUAACGCGACAGGAACAUGUGAAUGUAGAAUGCCUUACUAUCACAAUG